This 62-nucleotide transfer RNA is filed under the name marine eukaryotic metagenome. It matches the Rfam family "tRNA", at positions 6 to 65 of the family's 71-position model. Rfam says of the family: Transfer RNA (tRNA) molecules are approximately 80 nucleotides in length. Their secondary structure includes four short double-helical elements and three loops (D, anti-codon, and T loops). Further hydrogen bonds mediate the characteristic L-shaped molecular structure. tRNAs have two regions of fundamental functional importance: the anti-codon, which is responsible for specific mRNA codon recognition, and the 3' end, to which the tRNAs corresponding amino acid is attached (by aminoacyl-tRNA synthetases). tRNAs cope with the degeneracy of the genetic code in two manners: having more than one tRNA (with a specific anti-codon) for a particular amino acid; and 'wobble' base-pairing, i.e. permitting non-standard base-pairing at the 3rd anti-codon position. The record is from RNAcentral.
AGUAGCUCAAUCGGUAGAGCAUUCGGCUGUUAACCGAAGGGUUGUAGGUUCGAGUCCUACCU